This is a non-coding RNA of Lupinus albus (white lupine), 686 nucleotides long. The record is from the annotation of a GenBank genome assembly. Lineage: Eukaryota; Viridiplantae; Streptophyta; Magnoliopsida; Fabales; Fabaceae.
UCUCAUUGAUGAGGCGGAUUGGAUGAAAUUUGUGACUCUUCGGACACAAGACGACACUUCUUGGUAGACCUUGAUGUUCUAUGGGAGGAUGCUCGUAAGAACAAGAAAGGUGUUGUCAAUAACGAACAAGUUCAAGAAGUUACCCUAAAAGAAAAGACAAGUUUGCUGCAAACCUCAGAUAUUCAGGCGGUACUUGAUAAGGCAUUAGGACUGCCUCAAUACUCUUGUCAUAUACGGGGUGCUGGAUUUGGGGUUAGCAAACAUACAUUAAAACCCCGUGAAAAGCGUGCAACCAAAGCUGUUGUAGCUGAUUUGGAGAGCCGAUUCAUGGACCUCACGGAAUGAAUCAUUGAAUUAGAACAUAUAUUGAAAAUUAAAGAGGCUGAGGGACAUCAACCUUCUACGGUCAGUGAAAGUUGUACGUAUCCUAGAAACAACAUUCUCAUUCCACAGGUAAUUUAGUUAACUAAUUUUAAUCUAUUUGAUCUUUAGUGUAAUUAUAUUCCUAAACUAAUUAUAUGUUUAAACAAACAUUUAGGGAACCUGUACUUGCAAACUCUUCCUGGAUAUCCCAUGUAAGCGAGUAGUGGGGGUAUUUUUAUGGUGCACAACACACAGGAUGCCAUGCUGCAUAAUUCACGUAUCCCACCCAAUCAUGUGAGGGUCACAAUUGAUAUUGAAAUUGA